Molecule: long non-coding RNA, 707 nt
Filed under: Ursus maritimus (polar bear)
Lineage: Eukaryota; Metazoa; Chordata; Mammalia; Carnivora; Ursidae
Description: lncRNA (ENSUMAG00000005950.1)
Source: RNAcentral
GGGCCCACCAAUGGCAAGGCCUCACGUGUUCUUAAUGUUAUUCCUAACAUAAUGAAACCUUUGGUGUUUGCUCUUUUCCACAAGUCCCUAAGAACACCUCUCUGCUGUUUCAAGGGAUAGCACACGUGACUUGUUUAGAACCACCUGGAGAGAUUUACAAAGUACACUUGCCUGGGUCUCUCUCCCAAAGAUUCUGGUUCAACUGGUUGAAAGUGCACCUGAGGCAUGGCUCCUGUUGCCUAAAGCUCGGGGGGGGUUUUUUUUUGUGUAAGGCAGCAGCUGGGCAAGCAUCCCUGUACAGAAGUAAGCCGACAACUAGAGCACAGGGAAGGUGAAGACCAUCAAGCCACAGAGCUCACAGCCACUGCAACAUCACCUCAUCUCCCCGCUUCAUGGAUGUCACCGCUGAGAAGGAAGCCAGAGCUGCAGCGCUGUGUCCUUAGAUCCUGCUGUUUUCUCCUGGAACCUUGUCUUAACUGCAUCGCAUUUAAGCUUGAGACUCCUUCUCGUUUGCCACCUUUCCUGGAGUUGAGUUCACUUCACUUCUGCAUCUGAAUCUCAACAGGAAAUCCGAAAUCACUGAGCCUGUGACAAAGGCAGCCAAUCAACAGCUCAGGAAGGAAAAAGCCCAUCUGGGGGAACUUAUACAGCAGACCCAGCCUAAGGGAAGUAAUAAAAGUUUGCUUCGUGCCUUUUCUCUACUGGCC